GGAGAGGUGGCCGAGUCCGGUUGAUGGCGCACGACUCGAAAUCGUGUGAGGGCCCUAAACCAGUCCUCCGGGGGUUCGAAUCCCUCCCUCUCCGCCA
RNAcentral lists this transfer RNA (97 nucleotides) under bacterium ADurb.Bin429. RNAcentral describes it as "tRNA-Ser". It matches the Rfam family "tRNA". Rfam says of the family: Transfer RNA (tRNA) molecules are approximately 80 nucleotides in length. Their secondary structure includes four short double-helical elements and three loops (D, anti-codon, and T loops). RNAcentral also lists the same sequence under 1 other name. The record is from RNAcentral.